GUGAAUCAUCAAAUUUUUGAACGCAAAUUGCACUCUCCUCGAAGAGUAUGCCUGUUUGAGGGUCAGCCUAUAUAAAAUCGACAUCGUUGCUGUUUCUCGGUGACGUUCGUCGGAAAUUGGGUCAUCUUAAAUCCUUUUGGUUUUAAGCGACUUAAAGAUUUCUUUUGGUUCCAUGUACGUUUCUAUGAUUUAUUUCUUUACACGUUUAAGGUAUCGAUUUUUAUUAGACGUGACCAUCAUAUCGGAUCGCGUCCAUAAUCUUUCAUUAAAUGACCUCAGACUGGUAAGAA
RNAcentral lists this unclassified non-coding RNA (290 nucleotides) under Glomus sp. RNAcentral describes it as "partial contains 5.8S ribosomal RNA and internal transcribed spacer 2". The stretch from base 1 to 65 matches the Rfam family "5.8S ribosomal RNA", at positions 84 to 154 of the family's 154-position model. The record is from RNAcentral. Lineage: Eukaryota; Fungi; Glomeromycota; Glomeromycetes; Glomerales; Glomeraceae.